CAUAAUACAUUAAAUUAGAAACAAGUUACAGAGCAAUAUGUAUAAUCUUUUUUCUGUUGUAACAUUGUAAUAUACUUAUGUUUCCUUGAGAAAUCAUUUGAAAGGAUAUACUCAAAUAGGAGGGAUUAUUGUCUCUAGAAUUGGGUUCUUUGGGUGAUCUUGUUAACCAGUAUUUUCUGACUUUACUAUAUUCAUGUAUUGUAUAAUUUAUUUUAAGCAGCCUACAUGGCACGGGCUUGUAUUCUUGCACCUGCAAGUUUCAGCAGAGAAUGGGGCUACACAUGAGGGUAAAACACAGUAAAUACAAAUAAUUCAAAGUAACAUCAGCACUUGAAAUAAUUUUUUAGCUUUUGGCUAUGUCUUUUGCAGAAAUGAAAUUUCAGGAAACUGAAAAUAAAUCGAGGUCUCACUUCUUUACCAGUCUGGAACUCUUGGGAGCUCAUGAAGGUAGAUGAUUCUUCAAGUUAAAGAUGGACACUGACUUUUCACACCAGAAAUGGCUUAUAGAAUCAUCUUGCCAAAAUGUAAGAGGCAGCAAAGGAAAGAGGAAAAUAUUUUCUUCUAUCAUUCUUCGAUUCUUUGCUAGAUUGUAAACUCCAUGAAAGCAAGAUAACUUGCUUAUCUCUAAUGCCUGGCCUAGAAUAGAUACUCAAAAAAUAUUUGAGGUUAUUUGAAAUUUCCGUAUUUUUUUUUGAAUCCCUGGAAAAUGGCCACCAUUUUACUGGCAUUUCAGCAAGACAUUUAUGUGGAGUAACUGGGACUUAAAUUUUGACUUUGAUCUAUACACUAUUUUGGUACCAAUGAGUCUACUUAAUAUCUGAUAAUGAUGCUCGAUCUUUUAAAAGGCAGUGAAGAAUAUCUGCCAAAGCAACCUGUGUAUGUGAGGAAUAAUAUACAAAAACUUAUUGAUAUUUAAUAGGAAAUCCUUUAUUAUUAAUAUUUUAUUGAAAGCCUUAUUGGACAUUUAUUAUAGAUUUAAAUUGGACAUACCAGUCAAGUAUGAAGAAAAAGUCAUUUUUUCUGCUGUAUAUUUAAUGUUGAAAUAUUCUCAACUGUUUUGGCUCAAUUAUACUCAGAAUUUUUUGCUCUAUGUACUUUAUUUAUAUCUGUGAGGGUAUAUUUAACAUGUAAGGGUACAAAAUAUACAUCCCAACAUAAAUCACUGUGUUGGAAUGAGAUGUAAUACUCAUGCUUAUGCCAGAAUCACAUGAUUGGUAUGCGACUAUAAUAAAUUCUGUUAGAAUAUGAAACCUAUUCUUUAAUUAGGAUUCUUCUAUUAAAACAAAUAUAAAUAUCAAA
Vicugna pacos (alpaca) is the source of this 1299-nucleotide non-coding RNA. The record is from RefSeq and is a predicted model, not a curated record. NCBI's taxonomy places the organism in Eukaryota, Metazoa, Chordata, Mammalia, Artiodactyla, Camelidae.